AUGUAUAUCUAUGUGGUAGCAGUGAUCAUUACCUUGUCAGGGGUCAGUGGACAGGAUAAAGUCUCCCAGUCGCCACUCUCUGUGUCUGUUGGUGAGAAUGAACAAGUGCUUAUCAGCUGUUCCACAACAGAACAGGGUCAGGGCUUACAAUGGUACAGACAGUACCCGAACCAGGCUCUCAAACACUUGGUAACAGGACAGACAGGAGAGCAACAGAAGGAGAGGAUCACAGCUUCAAUGAACUAUAGAGAGAAGCGCAGUAACCUGAGCAUCACAGGCACAGAAGUGACAGACGCCGCCACCUACUUGUGUGCAGUGGAGACACAGUGA
Molecule: non-coding RNA, 330 nt
Organism: Callorhinchus milii (elephant shark)
Lineage: Eukaryota; Metazoa; Chordata; Chondrichthyes; Chimaeriformes; Callorhinchidae
Source: the annotation of a RefSeq genome assembly